GCUUUCUCAGUAUAAAUCUGUACAACUGCCUUCCAAGCAGUAAGUUUGGGGUCCAAAGAAAGUA
Molecule: transfer RNA, 64 nt
Filed under: Paraescarpia echinospica
Lineage: Eukaryota; Metazoa; Annelida; Polychaeta; Sabellida; Siboglinidae
Description: tRNA-Gly
Source: RNAcentral